UACAGAGGUCUCAAGCGUUGUUCGGAUUCAUUGGGCGUAAAGGGCGCGUAGGCGGCGGGGUAAGUCUGGUGUGAAAUCUAGGAGCUCAACUCCUAAACUGCACUGGAUACUGCUCUGCUAGAGGACUGGAGAGGAGACUGGAACUCACGGUGUAGCAGUGAAAUGCGUAGAUAUCGUGAGGAAGACCAGUGGCGAAGGCGGGUCUCUGGACAGUUCCUGACGCUGAGGCGCGAAGGCCAGGGGAGCAAACGGG
This 253-nucleotide ribosomal RNA is filed under the name uncultured bacterium. RNAcentral's name for it is "partial 16S ribosomal RNA". It matches the Rfam family "Bacterial small subunit ribosomal RNA", at positions 524 to 776 of the family's 1533-position model. The record is from RNAcentral.